This is a long non-coding RNA of Dermacentor albipictus, 733 nucleotides long. RefSeq lists it as uncharacterized. The record is from RefSeq and is a predicted model, not a curated record. Lineage: Eukaryota; Metazoa; Arthropoda; Arachnida; Ixodida; Ixodidae.
UACCCGCAGGGGAGAAGCACGUGAAGUGCGUGAAGCGCGCGAGAAAAAAGAAAUAAAGAAAAAGGAGGCGCAGGUGGAGUUCAGCUGGCAUUGCUGACGUAAUCGACAAGGAAGACAGUGGCAUCUCCAGCUGCGCUCUGGAGACGGCAGGACGCAGCUUCGGGGACCACGGACCGGAAAGCUGGCCAGUGACGACUCCCGCUCCUGAGCCUCGACUGCGUCGCCGUUGCGGUGUUUCGCGGCCGUGGUCCAACCCCACGCUGCCGUAACAACUUGCUGUCCCGUGCCACGAGGGCGAUCGCCUGCCCACGCCAGCGGCACAACGGCCGAGACAUGGUCCGGUGCCACGCGGGUCUCUGCUAAAGACUAUAACCUCAUUGCUCUCGACGGAGGUCGACGCCCACGCUGCGUCAGAACCAUGCAGGCCAACGUCCUUUGCCACGCUGGGCCGGAGUCCGAUGCGACUGGCGACGGUCAUGCAGGUGAUAGCAGCAGUUUACCAUUGCCCAGCCUUGCUACCCUCCAUCAAGAGCAAGUCACUUGUGUUUGCCUUCGGACAGAUGGUUGAUGUCUUGGACACCGUUCUAAGUAGAUAUAUUUGUACCUCCUCGCAGCUGGCGCGUGCGAUCACUGCGCGUGGAGAGAAACGGCUCACCGCGUCGCAGUGGAUGUCGCACUGGCAGUCUCCGCCGGGCGCACACACCGCGCCGAAGCGGCAGCUGCACCCGUCCCC